CAAAAACACAACCGUUUGUCCUCCACCUUGUGUUUGUUUGUUUGUUGACCAUGUGCUUUCGAGUUCAACACAAUAUUUUAUCAGUCUUACCGCAACACUCGAAAGAUAAUGUUUCAUUUCCAAAAACUAGUAGAUAUAUGCUGCUUGUAGAUGUGGCGUUUAAUAAAUCAGCGUUGUUUUUUGUAAGAAUACACGACGUUAAAAUCUCAGACCUCUCCACCUGCAGCGACCACGAGCAACUAGUCACUGAAGCGUAGUUUUUCCUCCGCACCUCUAGGUGGCGUUACCGAAGUCACGUGCAGAGCUUCUGAAUGACAACAUUCUGUUGGGAAAACAGGAAAACAUGUCUAGACCGUUUUACACACAGAUGCUGCAGAUGACAGCUCACUUACAGUGGUUUAAAAACAAUAAACAACACGUUUUCCAGCUUAUCAACACACAAUAAGGACGCACAAUGUGAUAAAGAGUGUCUGGAGUGUCAAACGACUCACCUAAUGAGGCAUGUGUUUGGACCGUACAGUCAACAGGCGCAUCGUUUUGGGACGUUUGGACCACAUGUGGACCACCGAUGGACAUCAGCUGCGGACAGAGAGCUAAAGCUGGACAUGACACAAUCGUCUGAAAGAGAUGAAGACAUGCAGAAUCCACCGACAAGGAAAGAAAAUGAGACUGUGGUUCAUCUGGGCAUGUUUGGUUUCUUGGCUUCUUCUCGUACAGCCGUUUCCCUCUGCUAAACCAACAGAGACAAGCUGAGCAGAUAAUCAAAAUAAAAGGGGUCACCUACAUUUGCUCAUUCCCAUGGACUCCUAUUGCUCUACAAUCUGGUCGGAGUAGAAAUUCCUUCUGAAAUACCCGUUCUAAAGCCCUGCCUGAUGUCUCGCUGUGAAAACUCGUGAGGAAACAUUUGACCAUCUCCGUUAGGGAUAGAAUGUUUUAAAUAGAGCUGUGGGCAAAACUUUCAGUGUUGGGUGUAAUUAGUAAGGAGGUUUCUGCUAGGAGAGUGUACGUUUAAAUAAUAGUGUACGUAUAUAUAUUGUGUGUAUAUAUAUUUUGCAUAAUAACUAGAACAUUUUCUACUAAAACAUGUUAGAUUUAUCCAACAAUUGCACAUGCAUAUAAAGCAAUGAAAUAAGGAAUUUGUCAAUAUAUGGUAUUUAUAAAAAUAUGGUGUCUUAAAUGUGAAAUGUUUUUAAAGUGAUUUUAAGUGUUAUGAAAAAUAAAAGUGAAAGUUUCCAUUUGA
Non-coding RNA from Danio rerio (zebrafish), 1240 nucleotides. Lineage: Eukaryota; Metazoa; Chordata; Actinopteri; Cypriniformes; Danionidae. The record is from RefSeq and is a predicted model, not a curated record.